This 157-nucleotide small nuclear RNA is filed under the name Mesocricetus auratus (golden hamster). RNAcentral's name for it is "U1 spliceosomal RNA (ENSMAUG00000003591.1)". Lineage: Eukaryota; Metazoa; Chordata; Mammalia; Rodentia; Cricetidae. The record is from RNAcentral.
AUUCUUAGCUGGGGUGCUCCCCUGAUCAAAAAGUAGUUUUCCCAAGGCAAGGCUAUCCUUUGAAUGUUGGCUUUGCCAAUACCUAAAGCAUCCCACAUGUGGGGCAAUCAGCUUCAGAACUUGUGGUAGUGAGGGCAGGAUUUUUCUCAUGCUUCUU